GUUUCUUUGGCAGUGUCUUAGCUGGUUGUUGUGAGACGUUAUAGAAUAGCAAUCAGCAAAUAUACUGCCCUAGAAGU
Molecule: non-coding RNA, 77 nt
Organism: Xenopus laevis (African clawed frog)
Lineage: Eukaryota; Metazoa; Chordata; Amphibia; Anura; Pipidae
Source: Rfam